GGGGUUCUUAGAACUUUUUGUGGUGUGUGUUGGCCUAGAGCGACUCAGAAGCGUUAGUCACUUCACCUAAAAAAGCUAACCUCUGCUGAGCGCGACCGGUGUGCGGCGCAGGAUGAGCCUCAGGGCUUCUGUUAAGAGUCCGUCUGAGAAAGCCGGUCUGCGCUGUUCCUCGGUGGCGACCUUAAUUAUGAGAUGAGCUAAUGCUUUACUGACUUAACCAUGGCGCAGCGGGCAGUGUGGCUCAUAAGCCAUGAACCGGGAACUCCACUUUGUGGCACCGUGAGAUUCUCCAGGCCAUUGUUUCUUCUUGCUCUGUAGUACUCAUGGUUCACAUCCUACACAUUUACCUAUCCCCUUUACCUACUGAUGACCUCUCCCAAAUUUGCCUCCAAAGAACACUGCCAAAGUAUGCAUCCUCACAUCUGUCCAUGGGGCAUGUCUAUGCCGAUUUUGACUAAAGACUGCCAAAUAAUCUGCUCCACAGAAUGCUUUCACCCACCCACGCACUCACUAGCAGCAAGAA
This 523-nucleotide small RNA is filed under the name Pongo abelii (Sumatran orangutan). RNAcentral's name for it is "processed transcript". Lineage: Eukaryota; Metazoa; Chordata; Mammalia; Primates; Hominidae. The record is from RNAcentral.